UGAGAGUGAUCUGAGCCUCUCAACUUAAAAAAAAAAAGAUAAUUACACUGGAUCAAGCGGGAAGUUUUCCAGAAAAGGGAGCUACCAAAGUCAUUCUGAACUCAUGGAACAAGAGGAAGAGCUGUUAAAAUUAUACUUGCUUCUUAACUCAAGGAUUCUUUCUUCAUCUUGGUGAGCAAACAGCUUUGUUGAAAAAUAAAGCUCAGACCAGCCAAGAUUGGCCUCAAGGGGAGGAGAGUCUCAGAAGCUGGUGUGGUAAUGGCCUCCAGCCUGGGGAAGGUGGUGUGGACUUUCCUCUCUGUUGGGUCAGUUUUGUGCAGAGCUGGGGAAUACUGGGGAAAAGUGCUCCAUCCCAGGGUGACCACCCAGCUCCAUCAGUCCAGGGACAAUGACACCAUAUUGAUGUUGCUUCUGGCAAGGACCUGACCACUAGUUAUUUCUGGGAUUCUCUGGGGGUAAAAAUAGGGUCACAAAACAGUUAUAAAAUAUUACCUUUCUAAUUAUACUGCCAGCCCGUAAACUGUGGAACAGAACACGCUUUGUGGGGUUUAAGAACCAACUCUCCAUCAGCACAAAGACCUCCCCUCUCUGCUUUCCGCACACUGUAAGUUUGCCCCUCUGGCUUCAUUUCCAGCCCAGACACAGGCAGGUCAAGCUUGGAGAUCAGGUCCUUCUGCUGCCUAGAUCUGAACCAGUCACCCCUAAAGGGCCUUGGCUGCCCUUUUGUUCCUUUUGAUGCUGGUGGGAGUAUCAAUAGGCAUCACUUAGCACUGCCUGUGUACUUGCAAUGUGCUAAGUCCUGAAGGCACAGGUCCCACUGUGAUCCCAUUUCACAGCUGAGAAAACUGAGGCUCUGAGCAGUCCUGUGGUCCUUCUCUUCCACAAAGCUGCUGUAAAGUCUGAAGAAAAGUCUGGGCUCCCUCGGUCUCUCUCCACCUUUGCAGCCUCCUUGCCCUUCUCCUCGACCCAGGCCAUUCUUUUUCCUAUCCUUUCUCCAACCAGAUGUCACCCCAACACCUGUACACACCCCAUCCAGCUCGGCCACAGAACUGACUCUCACUCAGGAUGAAAGCAGUCUCCUUUCUUUUCAGUGAAAACCUGCCUUGACCCUUAAACCUGAUGCUUGGCAUUCCCUGAUGCAACCAAACUGACUUCAGCCUGAGAUCCAACAUGAGGCUGAGCCAUCAGGACUGCCUUGGCUGGACAUUUCUCUCCCUCCUGCCAGGUACCCUGUUCUCAACCUCUGACUGGCUGUCACCUUCAGACUGCUUUUAAUGGAGCAAAACGCAAGCUUUGCAAUAAUAAGGGGCUUCAACAAAAGCCUGUUCAGAACAGAGAGAGAAUUUGAGGAAUCUCAAAGCUGAAAUCAGUCUGGUUAAGUUGGGAAAUGCAGUGCUACAAGUUGGGCCAACAGCCCUAGAGGCCUACAGGGACAGAAGGACCCCACACAUAAAGCAUUAGAUCAGUUCCUGGCACGUGGCAAAUCCUCACUAUAUAUUAGCUACCAUUCUGUAUUAUUUGAAUGCUCUACAAAGAGAUGGUACAUCUGCUCUUAUUUAGCAAGCAUAGGUGUUAGAGUUCAUCAAUUUCUUUCAAAAGGAAGUGAACGCGCACAUUACUCUCCCCUGGGAGUGCAAAACUCAAUCCUGCCAACUCAAGGUAAACUGUCACUGUCAGGAGUCCUCACCUGGCACAGUGUGGUGGCACAGUGUCCACCACAGCUUUUCCUGGGCAGAGAGGCGCAGGUCUCCUCUGCUUCACUGUCUCCCACCCACCCGCAUCCCAGGCUUUCUCACAGGUCCCUGGCAUCUGUGGGUUCUAGUUCCAACCCUUCGAUCCUCCUUCCACCUCCCAAAACUGAACUUUUGUCUCCUUUUGAGUAGAAAGUGGAACAAUAUCUCAGGGGAGUGUGCCAUUUAAUAAUACCCUAGGUCAUUACACAGCACUUUCACUGAAAUAUAGGUUUUAUGAACAUAACUCAAAGAAAUACCUAAAAAUUAAUCUGUGGAUUACACCAAUUUAAAAUGUAUGGGAAGAAUACAAGUAGGAAGAGGGGGAAAACAAACAAAGGGAAAUAUAUUGACAUUCUGAAGUCUCUUUUCAUUUAACAACAAAUAUUUUCAAAGAACACAAGGCUUUCUCAGUCAUUAACAAUUCAUUUUUUUAUAAGCUACAUUCAAUUUUAAUCAUCUACAAUAUAUGAAAAAUCCCCCUCAGGAUUACCUGCACAAAAUUGCAAAAGAAAAAAAAAUUGUAAGAUUAUAUGACAGUUUCAAAGCUGAAUUACAAAUGUAUGCACCCAGCAGCAGAUAAAAAUGAAGGAGAAUACGGGAAUGAUUAAGUUUUCAAUUUCCCUACAAUGACUUGAUGUUAAUUUCAAUUCACUUACAAGCCUCUUUGUAAAGGAUUAAUAAAGAAAAGAAAUAAUCUGAUGGUUUGACAACAUGAAGGUACUGGGAAAUUAUUUCCCUGAGAGAUUGUCAUUUAGAAGCUGGAUAAGUUUCUGAUUCACUUGCGGCCUCAGUUUCUCAUCUUUAAACUGGGAAUUGGGAAAUGACAAUGAUGAUUCCCCAGUAGGAUUCAUGUGAGGAUUUCAU
RNAcentral lists this long non-coding RNA (2597 nucleotides) under Homo sapiens (human). RNAcentral's name for it is "non-protein coding lnc-PRDM11-8:1". Lineage: Eukaryota; Metazoa; Chordata; Mammalia; Primates; Hominidae. The record is from RNAcentral.